UCCCGCUGCUGCCGCCGCUGCCACGUCGGUGGCCCUCCCGAGCCCGGCCGGCCUCCAUCCCGCCCGGCCGCUCCAUCCCGCUCGGCCGAGGGCUCGGAGAGCGAGUGCUCUUUCCUCCCUCUACUGCUGCUUCGCUGGAGAGCUUUGGCCAGAUCUCAGGAAUACAAUGGAGCACCCACUAGGCAAUGCACUCUGCAGUAAACCUGUCAUCCUGCCUCAAGAUGAAGUUGAUCAGAGAUAUGCAGGAAGUGGCUGUACACCCUAUAAAUGAAGAAGAAAAGGAGUUCCAGCUCACAAAGCUUGGAUCUUCAAUCCUACAGCGGGCCUACAGAGCCACUGCAGCUCUAGAAAUGUGGAGAUGUGCAGGGAUCCCUCUGCAGGCCCAUGCAUGCUGCAUCUGUCUUCAAAGAUGUUGCUUAUCUGCAUCCACAUCUAACCCUGCAGGCUAAAUAACCCCAGCUCCCUCAGAUGAUCAUCAGACGUGCUCCAGACACUUCACCAGCUUCAUUGCAUUUCUCUGGACACACCCCAGCACCUCAAAGUCCUUCCUGAAUUGUUCUGAACUGGACAGAAGACUCGAGGUGUGGCCUCACCAGGGCCAGGUACAGAGGGAUAAUCACUGCCCUGGUCCUGCUGGCUGCACCAUUUCUGAUACAGGCCAGGAUGCCAUUGCCCUUCUUGGCCACAUGGGCACACUGCUGGCUCAUGUUCAGAAGCUGUCAACCAGAGAGUCCAGGUCUUUUUCUGUCAGGCCACUGUCCAGCUACUCUGUCCCCAGCCUGUAGUACUGCAGGGGGGUAAUUGUGGCCAAAGUGCAGGACCCAGCACUUGGACUUGUUAAACCUCAUAUUGUUGGAUUCUGGCCAUCUCUCCAGCCUGUCUCUCUGCAGAACCCUCCUACCCUCCAUCAGACUGACUCUUGCACCCAACUCAGUAUGAUGUGUGAACUUGCUGAUGGUAGAUUCAAUCCCCUCCUCCAGAUCAUCAGUGAAGAUAUUAAACAAGCCUGGCCCCAGCACUGAUCCCUGGGGACCCCACUAAUGACUAGAUGCCAACUGGAUGCAGCACCACCACUCUCUGGGUCUGGCCAACCAGACAGUUCUUAACCCAGUGAAGAAUGAACCUGUCCAAGAUGUGGGCUGCCAGCUUUUGCAGGAGUAUGCCAUGGAAGAUGAUGCCAAAAUGAUUUUUCCUUCUAUAUAUUGUUCAUAUAUAUUCAUAGCUCUGUAGACUAUUAUAUAGUCAUACAGUUAUCUAACUUCAAUACUUUUCCUAUUAGACAAACAAAUUCUUGGGGGCCUGUUCUAAUCUCGCUUCUUAUGGGAAUAAAGGUCAGGACACCUUCCCAAGACACUUUCCCAUAAACAACUAGCAAGGAACGUGGGCUUCAGAAGGGAUCAGACCAAGUGGGGGAGUUACUUCAUCACCUCAGAGUUUCUAAUUGGAGACUCUUGUCAAUUAUGUUAAUUUGCUAAAUGUAUAAAGCUCUGUGUGCCCUAUAUCACGUGUGUAC
This is a long non-coding RNA of Hirundo rustica (Barn swallow), 1513 nucleotides long. RefSeq lists it as uncharacterized. NCBI's taxonomy places the organism in Eukaryota, Metazoa, Chordata, Aves, Passeriformes, Hirundinidae. The transcript is spliced from 4 exons. The record is from RefSeq and is a predicted model, not a curated record.